ACCGCUUACUACUGCCAACCCAUUAACAGUAUUGAAUAAUUUCAUAAAUUAUGAAAACUACCAUGCUAGAACUAGUAACAAGAAAAUGAAUUUCUCCAAAGUGUAAACAUAAACCAAAACGGACAACCCAUUGGUAAUUAACGACUCUGAACCCAUUAUAGCAAAACAUCUAGAAAACCCUAUACUUAAUACCGUUAACCUUACACAAGAACUCUUCUGGAAAGAUUAAAAGGAAGAGAAGGAACUCGGCAAAUUUUAACCCCGCCUGUUUACCAAAAACAUCGCCUCUUGCUUAGUUAUAAGAGGUCCCGCCUGCCCAGUGUUUCAAUCAACGGCCGCGUGAUCUAAACGCGCGAAGGUAGCAUAAUAAUUUGUUCUUUAAAUGAGGACUUGUAUCAAUGGCAUCACGAGGGUUAUACUGUCUCCUCUCCCCAAUCAGUGAAACUAAUCUCCCUGUGAAAAAGCAGGAAUAAGAACAUAAGACGAGAAGACCCCAUGGAGCUUAAAACAAGGCAGCAAUUCAAUAACAAAAUCAGAACAAUCUUAAGCCCUGUAUGCCAGUUUUAGGUUGGGGUGACCACGGAGCAAAGCAAAGCCUCCACAACGAGAAGGGAUUAUUCCCUUACCCAAGAGACACGCCUCUAAGAAUUAUUAAAAUAACGUCUAAUGAUCCGAUUAUCGACCAAUGGACCAAGUUACCCUGGGGAUAACAGCGCAAUCCACUCUGAGAGCUCCUAUCGACGAGUGGGCUUACGACCUCGAUGUUGGAUCAGGAUAUCCCAGUGGUGCAGCCGCUACUAAAGG
RNAcentral lists this ribosomal RNA (804 nucleotides) under Occidozyga cf. laevis KU 306722. Its description in RNAcentral is "partial large subunit ribosomal RNA". It matches the Rfam family "Bacterial large subunit ribosomal RNA", at positions 1542 to 2571 of the family's 2925-position model. RNAcentral also lists the same sequence under 1 other name. The record is from RNAcentral. Lineage: Eukaryota; Metazoa; Chordata; Amphibia; Anura; Dicroglossidae.